AAAAAAGCAAACUUUAAAUUUCCGUGUCCAACUUUAACUGUCUAUCUUAUAUAAAAUUUUUUAUAAUUCAUAUUUUCAUUGUUGUUAAAUAAUAAAAUAUGAUUAAUAUUUUAUACGUGACUUGUCUUUUUAAUUUUUUUCUAAUUUUUUCAAAUCAGACGGACGGUCAAACGUUGGACACGGAAACCAGGGUUUGUCUUUUU
Non-coding RNA from Oryza glaberrima (African rice), 203 nucleotides. Lineage: Eukaryota; Viridiplantae; Streptophyta; Magnoliopsida; Poales; Poaceae. The record is from Rfam.